RNAcentral lists this ribosomal RNA (468 nucleotides) under uncultured bacterium. RNAcentral describes it as "partial 16S ribosomal RNA". It matches the Rfam family "Bacterial small subunit ribosomal RNA", at positions 28 to 507 of the family's 1533-position model. The record is from RNAcentral.
GACGAACGCUGGCGGCGUGCUUAACACAUGCAAGUCGAACGGAAAGGCCCUGCUUUUGUGGGUUGCUCGAUUGGCGAACGGGUGAGUAACACGUGUGGAACCUGCCCUUUACUUUGGGCUAACUCCAGGAAACUGGGGCGCAUACCGGGUAGGAGCUCUUGCUGCAUGUUGGGGGUUGGUAAGUUUCGGUGGUUGGGGAUGGACUCGAGGCUUAUCCGCUUGUUGGUGGGGUAGUGGCUUACCAAGGCUUUGACGGGUAGCCGGCCUGAGAGGGUGACCGGCCACAUUGGGACUGAGAUACGGCCCAGACUCCUACGGGAGGCAGCAGUGGGGAAUAUUGCACAAUGGGCGGAAGCCUGAUGCAGCAACGCCGCGUGCGGGAUGACGGCCUUCGGGUUGUAAACCGCUUUCGCCUGUGACGAAGCGUGAGUGACGGUAAUGGGUAAAGAAGCACCGGCUAACUACGUG